ACUUUGCUUAGAUUCUUCGGAUGAAGAGGAUUGUGACUGAGCGGCGGACGGGUGAGUAACGCGUGGGUAACCUGCCCUGUACAGGGGGACAACAGUUGGAAACGACUGCUAAUACCGCAUAAGCUUACGGUACCGCAUGGUACAGUAAGAAAAACUCCGGUGGUACAGGAUGGGCCCGCGUCUGAUUAGCUGGUUGGCGGUGUAACGGACCACCAAGGCAACGAUCAGUAGCCGACCUGAGAGGGUGAUCGACCACAUUGGGACUGAGACACGGCCCAAACUCC
RNAcentral lists this ribosomal RNA (284 nucleotides) under uncultured Eubacteriales bacterium. RNAcentral describes it as "uncultured Clostridiales bacterium partial 16S ribosomal RNA". It matches the Rfam family "Bacterial small subunit ribosomal RNA", at positions 61 to 339 of the family's 1533-position model. The record is from RNAcentral. Lineage: Bacteria; Bacillati; Bacillota; Clostridia; Eubacteriales.